Molecule: ribosomal RNA, 460 nt
Filed under: uncultured bacterium
Lineage: Bacteria
Description: partial 16S ribosomal RNA
Rfam family: Bacterial small subunit ribosomal RNA
Source: RNAcentral
CCUACGGGUGGCAGCAGUGAGGAAUAUUGGUCAAUGGCCGCAACGCUGAACCAGCCAUGCCGCGUGAAGGUCAGUGCCCUUUGGGCGUUAAACUUCUUUUGUGCGGGAGCAAUAAUGGUCACGUGUGGCCAGACGAGAGUACCGUACGAAUAAGCAUCGGCUAAAUCCGUGCCAGCAGCCGCGGUAAUACGGGGGAUGCAAGCGUUAUCCGGAUUUAUUGGGGUUAAAGGGUGCGUAGGCUGGGAGGUAAGUCAGCGGUGAAAUGCCCCCGCUCAACGGGGUGAAGUGCCAUUGAUACUGCCUGGCUGGAAUGCGGAUGCCGUAGGAGGAAUGUGUGGUGUAGCGGUGAAAUGCAUAGAUAUCACACAGAACACCGAUUGCGAAGGCAUCUCACGAAUCCGCGAUUGACGCUGAUGCACGAAAGCGUGGGUAUCAAACAGGAUUAGAUACCCUAGUAGUC